This 1033-nucleotide long non-coding RNA is filed under the name Neogobius melanostomus (round goby). RNAcentral describes it as "lncRNA (ENSNMLG00000012091.1)". The record is from RNAcentral. Lineage: Eukaryota; Metazoa; Chordata; Actinopteri; Gobiiformes; Gobiidae.
GUUUAUAUUAUCUCAGAGGAAAUGCCCAUCUCUGUUCCAGAAGCAAUCAUGCAAAAGCAAACGGAGCCUCAACUUGAAGAAAAAGAUGUGGAUGCUAAAGAGAGAGAAGAUUUAACAAUGGUUGCUAUUGAAGACUGCCAUGAGGUUGAGCAUACCAUAGAUGAGAUGGAGCCAGAAAUAGAAAUAGUACCUGCAGAUGAAGACAAAAUAGAAGUUGUACCAGAUGAAGCUCAUUUAAAAUCUGCUUCAGAGGAGAUUCAAAAUGUAGAUUUGAAUGAGGAGACGACACCUUCUGUUAUCACUGAAACGAUACUGCAGGAUUUGUCUAUUUCCCCCAAGGAAGUAGAGACAGAGGAGUUUGACUAUGAGAUUGUAACUAAACAUGAAGCAAACGAAUCACACCAGACUGAGGUUGAACCAGAGGAACCAAAGCAAGAUCUGGACAAACAUACAGAGACAGUUGGCAUGGAUUUAGAUGAGGAAACUAUUGAAAAUAAAGAGGAUGUUGAGGAGCCAAUACUUGAGGGCGACAUGGAGGAGGACGCAGGUGUGUGCUCGUCUCUGAAAAGAUUUACUCCUCUAGAAGAUCUGUCUGGAUUACACGCCGGAGACGUGAACCUAGAAACCGCAGACUUGGAUCAUAAUGCUUUGGGACAGGACGAUGAAAUGGAUAUUACUGAAGAUUUAGAAGACGUGUGCAUGCAAGAUGAUGUGCCACAAACUGAGAGAAAAGAGAGUCCUGAUGUGACCAUGGAGGAGUAUGAAAUUAUAACUGAACAAGACGCGCCAGAGAUGGCACAAGCUGAAAUGGAGGGGGAAAAUUAGAAAUGGUGAAAGAGGAUGAAAUAAUGCCAGAAGAGGAAGUUUUGGAAGAAACCGCAGACACAGAGCUCACAGAGGUGGACUAUGAGACCAUUGAUGCAGAGGAGGAGCGCCAGGCUCGACUGGCAGCUGAGUUGGUGGGGUUGGACUGGUACUGUGUGACCUGCGGAGGUCUGCUGUCGAGCAGGAGAGCCGCUCUGAGCCACAUCAG